AUGAACCAAAAGGAAUCAAUGUUCCCAAACCUAUCCAAACUGUUUGUACUAGAUGGGGUAGUGAUCCCUUCUGCUUUGAUUCUUACUCUAAUGUUGCAGUUGGAGCUUCAGGUGGAGAUUAUGAUAUUUUAGCUGAAAGUGUGGGAGAUGGUAGACUUUUCUUUGUUGGAGAAGUAACCGAUAGGCGUUAUCCUGCUACUAUGCACGGGGCUUUUCUAACUGGUCUACGAGAAGCAGGAAAUAUGGCCCACCAUGCUAAUAAUUGAUCAAUGAAUGUGAAGGUUGAAAAUUCUCCUUCAAAUGCUCAUACUUAUGCUUCCCUUCUUGCAAAUUUAUUUAGAGAGCCUGCUAUAGAAUUAGGGAGUUUUUCUAUCAUUUUUGCUCAGAAGAAUGCAUACCCAAAAUCACUUGCAAUCUUGAGGGUAACAUUUGGCGAACCUAAAAAGAAGUAUCACGAAGUUGCCAUACAAGACCAACAACAACACUCAAACAAAUUAUUUUUUCAGCAGCUUCAGUCAAAUUUUAAUCAGCAGCAGCUUCAUGUUUGCACUUUGUUGUCAACACAACGGGCUCUUGACCUAAGAGAAGUAGGGGGAGGUGAUGAAAUGAGAUUGAAUCACCUUUGCGAAAAGCUAGGAGUGAAGCUGGUGGGAACAAAAGGAUUGGGGCUGAAUGCUGAUUCUUUCAUUGCUUCUAUUAAAGCCGAGAGGGGCAAUCGUGAACUUGUUUCAACUUCUAUGUCUCUUAAACUAGAGAACAUAUGCAAGGCUGCUUUGGGAUUCAGGUUGGAAACAACAAAGUUGGCACCUCCCUGAUGCACAGAUUUUGGGAUUCAGCAAUGGCCUUAUCUCCAAAUGACGAUGAUGGCGAAACUUGGAGUGUGAACUCCUUCAAAAUAGGUUCUGAUGGAGGAGAAAUAGGGAAAUCGGCUCCUUAUUCGUAUGCAAGCAUGCCCUAUACUUUUCCUUCAAAGUACAAAAUAAGAAGGGCAGAAUGCAUAGAUUUACAUGUGGUCUUCACUUGACAUAUAAUGACUGAAGAAGUGUAACUAUGUUCCCACCAUACUCAUUAACAACAUACUAGGAGUUCUCUGAUUUUAAAAAUCCCACUGUUGGCGCCGAAGGUUGGUCGUAACUGUUUGGAUAUGAAAUCAAAUGAAAUUGAAAUUAUAAACGAUAUAAGGAGUGACUUCGAACUCUUAGAGAUUAUUACUUCGUAGUGUUUUUUAACUCUUGAAUGAUCGUCAUCAUUGUCAUUUUCUUUAUCCCAUUUUUUAUUUGCACUAUAUGACAUGUUUUGGUGAUCUAUUUAAUAUCGUGUUUCGACUUAUUGACAAAGGUUUUCAUUUAUAUUAUGCGUAGAGUGGAGACUUUGAUAAAGCUUUGGUGCUUUUUAAUAUGAUGCAUUCUUCAGGAAUCUUGCCUUCUGAGUUUACUUUACUUGGAGUUGUCAAUGCUUUGCUUACUGAAACUUGGAAUGUCGGUUAAUUUCUGACGAUACAUUUCUUAUGUUGUUGCAGUUUAUAAUCGUUGAGGUUUUUAGUAUGUUUGUAGUCAUUUCAGAAUUAACUUCUAUGGCUGGUUUUUGCUGCAGAUUGUUCCCUUAUUCAAAGUCUCAGGCUGCUGAUUUCUCUCGAUCUUUUUUCGGCCUCUUCGUCUUCAGUGUUCUGCAGCGUAUGUGCUUCUGUCAGAAAAGAAAUAAAUGAGUCAAAGCAGAAAAGAAGGAGAGGCUUUUGAAAAGGGCUCAGGCAGAGUCUGAGGGUAAAAAAGUUGAGACCAAGAAGCCUAUCAAUGUCAAGUAUGGUCUCAAUCAUGUUACCUACCUCAUUGAGCAGGCAGAAAGAAGGGCCAGAGUGCACAAGUUAAGACUUGAGAAAGGAGCUGCGAAAGCUGCUGAGGAGCUUGAGAAAUGUGAUGACUCAUUUAUAUUGUUCUAAUUUUGUUGAUUUACAUGGAUUUAUGUUUUCUGAAUGUUGUUUCUCUAUCUACUUCAAUGUAGAUGAUCCACAAAGUGAUCCAAAUAUAUCAUGAGUUUUACUAUAGCAAAUGAUUAUUUGAUUUGUACUAACUAUACAUGACUAUUGGAAUAUAUGAAGCAAUGGUCCUUAGGAUUCAUACAUAGA
Molecule: RNA transcript, 2122 nt
Organism: Vicia villosa (hairy vetch)
Lineage: Eukaryota; Viridiplantae; Streptophyta; Magnoliopsida; Fabales; Fabaceae
Gene name: protein FLOWERING LOCUS D-like
Exons: 5
Source: RefSeq, a predicted model, not a curated record